Molecule: long non-coding RNA, 538 nt
Filed under: Cotesia glomerata
Lineage: Eukaryota; Metazoa; Arthropoda; Insecta; Hymenoptera; Braconidae
Description: uncharacterized LOC123266921, transcript variant X7
Source: RNAcentral
UAACUCAUUUACUUGUCGUGAACUCUUGCAGCAAGGUUAUCAAUUGAUCGUGUACAUAUGAUUCUAUUUCCUCAAUAGAAUAUAUACUGAGCAGUUUGUAUAGGAAAAAUAACAAAUUUUCGAUUUAGUAUAAAUUAGAUAUAAAUCGAUUGCCCGAUUGUAAAUAUUUAUUGAUCAUUAAAAGAUUACACACGCUUAAUAUUAAAUCUUUAAUUGAGUUUGAUAAAAAAAAUGUCAUUUAAAGUUUUGUUAUUAUCAAUUAUCUUCAUAGUAUCAAUCUGUACUAACACAAUUCAAGCAUGCGAUGGAGAACGAUGCGAUCCUUAUGGUCAGGGUCAAUGUUGCUUUGGUUAUCUAUGUGACCUUGAUUCGAGGGAAUGCUCAUCAGUUUAUUUCUACGGCAACAAUAGUCCUUUUUUUGGGAAAUGAAAAAGUUAGAAAACCACUUUAGUCUAAACAAAAUUUCUGAAAUGACAUCGAUUGUAAUAUCAAUUGAAUUAACAUUAUAAAUCGCAGAAAUUAUUUCAAAACAAAGAAA